GGAACUUCUGAAGCUGAAAUUCAUUUUGAGACACAGCUUUGUACUCCAAGGAAUACUCAUAGUGCAAUUUUACAAAACACCGAAGAGCUCCUGUGGACAUAAUAUUUAACUUACUGACCCAUUUCAGUCACCUCAAGACAAGUCCAGUAUUAUGAGGAGUUGUGAUCAUUGCUCAGCAUACAAGACAGUAUGAUGGAUGCUACUCUUCUAUGACAAGAAUUUUAACAGCCCUUCUUCAGCACUCAAUGCACACCCAAUUAUGCGUC
This 266-nucleotide long non-coding RNA is filed under the name Gallus gallus (chicken). The record is from RNAcentral. Lineage: Eukaryota; Metazoa; Chordata; Aves; Galliformes; Phasianidae.